RNAcentral lists this non-coding RNA (31 nucleotides) under Mus musculus (house mouse). The record is from RNAcentral. Lineage: Eukaryota; Metazoa; Chordata; Mammalia; Rodentia; Muridae.
AGAAAAGCCAUUGUUCACUAUAAAUUACAGC